RNAcentral lists this ribosomal RNA (292 nucleotides) under Staphylococcus pseudintermedius. RNAcentral's name for it is "partial 23S ribosomal RNA". It matches the Rfam family "Bacterial large subunit ribosomal RNA", at positions 20 to 311 of the family's 2925-position model. The record is from RNAcentral. Lineage: Bacteria; Bacillati; Bacillota; Bacilli; Caryophanales; Staphylococcaceae.
CACGGUGGAUGCCUUGGCACUAGAAGCCGAUGAAGGACGUUACUAACGACGAUAUGCUUUGGGGAGCUGUAAGUAAGCUUUGAUCCAGAGAUUUCCGAAUGGGGAAACCCAGCACGAGUUAUGUCGUGUUAUCUGCAUGUGAAUACAUAGCAUGCAAGAAGGCAGACCCGGAGAACUGAAACAUCUUAGUACCCGGAGGAAGAGAAAGAAAAAUCGAUUCCCUGAGUAGCGGCGAGCGAAACGGGAAGAGCCCAAACCAAUAAGCUUGCUUAUUGGGGUUGUAGGACACUCU